This 586-nucleotide ribosomal RNA is filed under the name Proteobacteria bacterium BvORR056. Its description in RNAcentral is "bacterial SSU rRNA". It matches the Rfam family "Bacterial small subunit ribosomal RNA", at positions 102 to 684 of the family's 1533-position model. The record is from RNAcentral. Lineage: Bacteria; Pseudomonadati; Pseudomonadota.
ACGGGUGAGUAAUAUAUCGGAACGUGCCCAGUUGUGGGGGAUAGCCCGGCGAAAGCCGGAUUAAUACCGCAUACGACCUGAGGGUGAAAGCGGGGGAUCGCAAGACCUCGCGCAAUUGGAGCGGCCGAUAUCAGAUUAGCUAGUUGGUGGGGUAAAGGCCUACCAAGGCGACGAUCUGUAGCUGGUCUGAGAGGACGACCAGCCACACUGGGACUGAGACACGGCCCAGACUCCUACGGGAGGCAGCAGUGGGGAAUUUUGGACAAUGGGCGCAAGCCUGAUCCAGCCAUGCCGCGUGCGGGAAGAAGGCCUUCGGGUUGUAAACCGCUUUUGUCAGGGAAGAAACGGUCUGAACUAAUACUUUGGACUAAUGACGGUACCUGAAGAAUAAGCACCGGCUAACUACGUGCCAGCAGCCGCGGUAAUACGUAGGGUGCAAGCGUUAAUCGGAAUUACUGGGCGUAAAGCGUGCGCAGGCGGCUAUGCAAGACAGAUGUGAAAUCCCCGGGCUCAACCUGGGAACUGCAUUUGUGACUGCAUGGCUAGAGUACGGUAGAGGGGGAUGGAAUUCCGCGUGUAGCAGUGA